RNAcentral lists this long non-coding RNA (1133 nucleotides) under Linum usitatissimum (flax). Its description in RNAcentral is "long non-coding RNA (LUSI_LNC005353)". Lineage: Eukaryota; Viridiplantae; Streptophyta; Magnoliopsida; Malpighiales; Linaceae. The record is from RNAcentral.
UGGGGGUGCCAUGAUGUCCAUUCCAUGGCUCCCAGCAUAAUAUACAUUGCUCAACUGCACAAAUUCUUUCACCUUCACAAAUAGAAAGAAAGCAGAGACUCUCAGAGUUGGGAUCAAGAAGUGAGCAGAUACACCACGGCCAAAACGGUUAGUACUCUUUUACCUUGUCUAUACUUCUACCACUGAUUAUAGCAGUUGGAAAGCAUUUAGCAACCUCACGUACAGCUGCACGCAUCUGUACAUAUAUAGGAUAGAGAAUCAGUUCAGUAUAGAAUUGAAUUUUCCUUCAAUGUUUUACUUAUUUCAUUCUCAGAUAGCUAAAGCCAUGAUUUUUUUUACCUCUUCAGACAUGAAAGCCAAGUUAGGAUCAUCUACAAUAGGGGAGAGUGUUCCAUCGUAGUCCAAAAAGACGAUGAUCUUCUUCCCUUUCGCUGCCUUCAUCAUCUGAUCAAAUGAGUGCAAUGCAGAUGGGUGCUCACCCUGACAGGUUGAACAUCAAAAGUAAAUCCACAUAAGCUUCCAGUUAUCUUAUAGUGAAGGUGAGUAGGAGGAAACUUUACUUACCACCCAUGAAGUAUAGUUAACAUCUUCAAUAACCCUAACAAGCCCUGAACCAGGCAUUGUCUUGGUGUUAUUUACAGGAGGGUCGCUGUUGACCUGUCCAAGUUUCUGCUUGUUGUUAGAAGGAGAUCGCUGAAGUCCCAUUGCUUGGUUAAUCCUGGAGAUGUUCCUCUUCAACAUACCUACACAUAAAUAGCAAACUCUGGCGAUUGUCAGCAGUCAUAAAGAAACGACAAUGACUGUUAUUAAAAACCAUUACUGUAUUCCUUCAACAAAUACCUGAAAUCGACAUGUCUCCGGCUGUGUUUUUUUGGGGUUAUAUUAUGAAAGCUGGUAUUUAGUGCACUGCCGCCUUCUUUUUAUUUACAACAAACCUGCAAAUGGGAUUCCACAGUCAGCCGCCGCCUGAACAUGAAAUUACACUUCGGAUGUGGCAAAGUUGGUGUCACGGUCUUUAAAGCAUAAUAAUCUACCGGCUGACGCAAAACAGAAACCAUCAGUAUACUAUUUUAUACAAUAACAAACCCACUAACAAGCAACUUGCUGGCGAGUAAUAAUGCAACAAGUUCUUC